UGGGGCGUUGCAAGAAAGUUACGUUGCAAUUGAUUGCAAAUCGACUGCAACUUUGCAGCCGAUUCCGAUCGACUGCAACUAGCAAUCAAUCGCCAAUUUGCGUUGCAAGAAAAAGGCUUGCGAUUGAACGCAAGUUGCAGCUGAUCUGCAGACGAUUUGCAGCUGUAAACAGGGUCUGCAGCACAAGACUAGCCGAAAAAGCAAAAUAAUGGCUUGCAACAAUCCUGUUUGUGGAAGAGAUUAUGACAAAGAAGUCUGGAACCUCAGAACCACCAUAACUGUGUCUGCUACAAUGUGUGUUCUUGCAACCAGCUGAUUGAUUCAUUUUAUCAACUCUUGAAUGGUUGAUUAUCAGAACUGAAUUCAGAGCUGCUCCUGUCUGUAGUAACAUCAUUAUAAGAGUGGACUUCAGAAUGAGGGCGUUGCUUGUUUAAAAACUUCACUCCAUGGAGCUCUCAAAAUUUAUCUCAAAUUAGACUGCUUCUGGAAACCAGAUUUGUUCCUUCAAGCAGAGACGAUUGUGGCUUUCCUGACUGGACUUCUAUGGAUUCUUCAUGCCAACCUUAAUGACUGUGGUCUUCUGCAUGAGACACAUCGAUUUCAAACAAGACAUUCUGUGGUGAAACACUUGAUGAAGAUGAUAUGAAAUUUUUAUUUCAUAUAACUGAAUCUCAGAAGUAAUUCCUCGAGAGCAAGAAACAUUGAAAAAUGAAAAUAAAAGGUCCAUCAAUAAUGAAUGUCUUGAGCAGUGUUCUUUUUUGUGCACAGAUCAAUGGAUCUUUUCAAGUCCAAGCAGGGAUGUAGUCAAUGCUGACCUCGAGGCAACAUUUUGCUGGCCUUGGUCCGAGUCACUGUACAGAAUCUAUGGGAAGUUCUCUCAAGCUGCCUCAUGACUCGGAAGAAUCAGCCUCGACCUCAUCCCUGUAUGCAAGUGUGAUAUAUAUCUACGAUGCAAUCUCAUGAUUAAAGAGAGAAAAACAAGAGAGCUUCAGAUUUUGAAGUGUAGCAAUCUCCUGAAAUGUAUGUUUUAUUUGAAAAUCAAACUAAAAUAACUUAAUUGGGCAUGUUAUUCAUUAUGAUAUGUAUGAAUGAAAGCAAAACAUAUUCUGAGUUGUAUUUACUGCAAACGCUCAGAAAUAUUGAUAAGCAUUUGCCAGUGCAUGAAGUGUUUUUAAUAAAGAGUGGCUUUUGUGCCUAUGGAGAGUUAUUAUUUCUUCAACAUUUCUUCAUACAAAUUAUUUCAGAAAUCACAAUUUGAAUAUUCCAUGACCUCUGAUAACAAGAGCAGAAUAUUUUUGGUUAUUGACACACUUUAAAAUGAUAUUAGGAGAGAAUGUACUGAAAUUGUGUGAAAAUAAUGGCAUAAUUGCUGAAGAGGCCUAUAAAGAUUGAAAAUAACAUUAUUUCAAGUUUUUCUUGAAAAAAACCCAUGGAAAAUUGAAAAUGGCAUAAUUUACACAAGUUUUCAAAACAAAAUACAAAAAAAAAAUUUUUUGCAGAAUUUUUAGUACACAAGCCUAUGGACAAUCAAUUGAACGUAAAUCGAACGCAAAUUUUGCGCAUCCUCCAAAAUCUUACAUAAGUUACGUUCGAUUUGCAAUCAAUUGCAAAGCUUGCGCUUGAUCUACGUUCAAUUGAUCAAACGCAACUUCUUCUUGCAACAGGAUUGAACGUAACUUGCGUUCAAUUGCAGAUUUGCGUUUAAUCGGAGGACUUACGCUCAAUUUUGGGAGUUGCGUUCGAUUUGCGUUCAAUCGCAAGUUUCUUGCAACACCCCAUAAGUCGACUAAUAGUAGAAUCAUGAGGUGGGCUUUAUCUCUCCAACCUUACAGGUUCCAUAUUGAAGCUAUACCAGGUUCGGAGAAUGUUGGCGCGGAUUUUCUCAGCAGGGCAGUUUGAGUUUAAAUUAAGUUUAAGUAAAGCAAGAGAGCUUAGAUUUAUUUCUAUGUCAAUCCACUUUUGGGGAUAGAUUGAAUAUUUAAUGUAAAUAUGAAAUAUUUUCUUAAGGAGGGGGUGAUGUUAGAGAUUCAACCUUCCCCCUCAAGUGUAUUCUUAAUCCUUUGUAUUAUGUAAUGCACAAUAGUGCUCUGGAGUGAAUAGUGAGUAGUUAGGCUCAGUGGUUAGGCUCCAUCGCACUUAAUUGUAAUUAACAUACUCAGCAUUUUUGAACUGGGUGGGUUGCCUGUUUUAGCAGGAGUACCUCACUAUCUGCACAGCUUUCACACAGGCAGGACCUAUUGGUCCUUGGGUCCAGUUGGGUGAUUGGAAAUGGAGAGUUAGAGUUUUAAGCCAAACACUUGCGCUGCAAUAAAACUAUAUUCCAGAGUCAAGAUUCACUAAACCAACAUGGAGGCCUGUUCCUGAUUUCCUGCAUUUAGUCAUCCCAGUCAAACUAUGGGUUCUUCUUCAUCUACCUGGGAGUUCACCAAGUGGUUCUUCAGAAGUAAAGAAGUCUGGCAGCUCAUUUUCAGCCAUUGACCAGACCAGUCAAGAGUAGGAGUAAAGGUUUAUUAGAGGGCACCCACCAAGAACGGACAGCACCCUCGCUGACAAGAUCUGAUGAUGGUCGUUUAUCAUCGCUCGUUUUAAUCAUUCGUUACUCCUCAUGAAUUUUUAGCAGGAAGCAACAGUUGAUUAAAGUGGGUUAUUUUAUUUAUACCCUCCAGAGACUUAAAGCAUUGUUUUGUAACCAUAUAUAUACUAUUGUGUAACUUCCUUCGAGUUGAAUAUAUUUUUGUUAUUAUUGUUUAUCUUCUGUUUAUUCUGGUCCACCAAAACCAGAAGAUUGAAUUUAAAUGUUGGAAGUUGAAGCCGGAAAACGAGUAAUAAAACUAAACAUAUUUUAUUUGUUGAACUAAAUAAUAAUUGUCUUCCAUGGUCAUUUAUUUAGUUUUACAGUAGUGAGUUGAGAGAGUCACCAUUCGACACAAGUUAUGUCCAUUUGAAUUUAUUCAGGUG
Lytechinus pictus (painted urchin) is the source of this 2958-nucleotide long non-coding RNA. RefSeq lists it as uncharacterized. The transcript has 4 exons. The record is from RefSeq and is a predicted model, not a curated record. NCBI's taxonomy places the organism in Eukaryota, Metazoa, Echinodermata, Echinoidea, Temnopleuroida, Toxopneustidae.